GCCUAACAUACACACUUAUUCUUAGAAAAUAAAGAAAAUCUUCACUGUUUAUAGUAUUUUAUAAAAAAUCUAUCUUACACAAAAACCGCAAGGGUUAACACUUAGCAUCUUAAAGAAAUGAUAACCCCGUGUCCCUUUUGCAUCAUGGAGAAGCAACAAAAACACAGUAAGCUGAGUUCCCGAAUGGCUAUGAGCUACUAAUCCUUAAAAAUCAAUGUUUCAUAAUUGAUAAAGUAACUUUUAGUAGAAGUAACAAGCCUUCCAUAUAGCCAUAUAGCUGGUUUUUCUUUAAAAGCAUCAAAGUGCUGCCUUAUAGCACAAAUAUUAAUACUACUAAUGCUAUAAAGUUUAACCUACUGAGGAUUAGCUCAGUAAGAAAGCUAAAAAUACUUCAUCAUCUUAACCUUUUAAGUAGGCUUAAAAACAGCCAUCCAACAACGUUCUAGUUAUCAAUCUCUUACCAAUUAACAUACAUAUACAACAUUUUAAAAUUAAAGAAAUUUGGCAUAAAACUCUACAUGCUAAUAAACAGGCAUUCUAUUAGUAUUUAACGUAAUCUAUCCAUCACAAACUUCAAAAAAUUUGAAUCACCAUCAUUUUACUCUCUAAACUAUACAAAGCAAACUCGGCAAAUAAAUUCCUUGCCUGUUUACCAAAAACAUCGUCUUUUGAAUCUCUCAAAUAAAAGAUAAUGCCUGCCCAGUGAAAAUUUUAAACGGCCGCGUUAGCGUGAGCGUGCUAAGGUAGCGUAAUAAUUAGCCUUUUAAUUGGAGGCCAGUGAAUGGCAAGACUAGGAAUAUCUGUACUUUGUAUACUAAAAAAACUUUUCUUCUAAGUGAAAAGACUUAGAUAACUAAGGAAGACGAAAAGACCCCGCGGAACUUUACCUUUUCUCACACUUCUGUCUACAAACUUAAAAGUCUAUAAGGUUUGAUUGGGGCAAUCUUGGAAUCACUAAAGCUUCCAGUUUUCUAUAAAACAAUAUCUAAAAUUUACUAAAGACCAAAAAGUAGUUACCCCGGGGAUAACAGCGUAAUCCAACUCAAGAGUACACAUCGAAAGUUGGGUUUGCGACCUCGAUGUUGGCUUAAGGAUAUCCACAUUAGUGCAACCGCUAUGACAGGAUAGUCUGUUCGACUAUUACACCCUUACACGAGCUGAGUUAAGACCGGCGCAAGCUAGGUUGGUUUCUAUCUCCUUUGUUUCCAAAAAUCUUCUUGAUUGUACGAAAGGACCCCAAAAGGUGCACUUAACACAAGCAUUUAUUAAGCUAAUUUAAUCAUUAU
RNAcentral lists this ribosomal RNA (1286 nucleotides) under Aculamprotula scripta. Its description in RNAcentral is "16S ribosomal RNA". The stretch from base 600 to 1286 matches the Rfam family "Archaeal large subunit ribosomal RNA", at positions 1423 to 2884 of the family's 2987-position model. Lineage: Eukaryota; Metazoa; Mollusca; Bivalvia; Unionida; Unionidae. The record is from RNAcentral.